GGGACACGUGGUAUCCUGUCUGAAUAUGGGGGGACCAUCCUCCAAGGCUAAAUACUCCUGACUGACCGAUAGUGAACCAGUACCGUGAGGGAAAGGCGAAAAGAACCCCGGCGAGGGGAGUGAAAAAGAACCUGAAACCGUGUACGUACAAGCAGUGGGAGCACGCUUAGGCGUGUGACUGCGUACCUUUUGUAUAAUGGGUCAGCGACUUAUAUUCUGUAGCAAGGUUAACCGAAUAGGGGAGCCGAAGGGAAACCGAGUCUUAACUGGGCGUUAAGUUGCAGGGUAUAGACCCGAAACCCGGUGAUCUAGCCAUGGGCAGGUUGAAGGUUGGGUAACACUAACUGGAGGACCGAACCGACUAAUGUUGAAAAAUUAGCGGAUGACUUGUGGCUGGGGGUGAAAGGCCAAUCAAACCGGGAGAUAGCUGGUUCUCCCCGAAAGCUAUUUAGGUAGCGCCUCGUGAAUUCAUCUCCGGGGGUAGAGCACUGUUUCGGCAAGGGGGUCAUCCCGACUUACCAACCCGAUGCAAACUGCGAAUACCGGAGAAUGUUAUCACGGGAGACACACGGCGGGUGCUAACGUCCGUCGUGAAGAGGGAAACAACCCAGACCGCCAGCUAAGGUCCCAAAGUCAUGGUUAAGUGGGAAACGAUGUGGGAAGGCCCAGACAGCCAGGAUGUUGGCUUAGAAGCAGCCAUCAUUUAAAGAAAGCGUAAUAGCUCACUGGUCGAGUCGGCCUGCGCGGAAGAUGUAACGGGGCUAAACCAUGCACCGAAGCUGCGGCAGCGACACUAUGUGUUGUUGGGUAGGGGAGCGUUCUGUAAGCCUGUGAAGGUGUGCUGUGAGGCAUGCUGGAGGUAUCAGAAGUGCGAAUGCUGACAUAAGUAACGAUAAAGCGGGUGAAAAGCCCGCUCGCCGGAAGACCAAGGGUUCCUGUCCAACGUUAAUCGGGGCAGGGUGAGUCGACCCCUAAGGCGAGGCCGAAAGGCGUAGUCGAUGGGAAACAGGUUAAUAUUCCUGUACUUGGUGUUACUGCGAAGGGGGGACGGAGAAGGCUAUGUUGGCCGGGCGACGGUUGUCCCGGUUUAAGCGUGUAGGUUGGUUUUCC
RNAcentral lists this ribosomal RNA (1110 nucleotides) under Escherichia coli. RNAcentral describes it as "partial 23S ribosomal RNA". It matches the Rfam family "Bacterial large subunit ribosomal RNA", at positions 419 to 1534 of the family's 2925-position model. The record is from RNAcentral. Lineage: Bacteria; Pseudomonadati; Pseudomonadota; Gammaproteobacteria; Enterobacterales; Enterobacteriaceae.